GAAUAAGCACCGGCUAACUCCGUGCCAGCAGCCGCGGUAAUACGGAGGGUGCAAGCGUUAUCCGGAUUCACUGGGUUUAAAGGGUGCGUAGGCGGGCAGGUAAGUCAGUGGUGAAAUCCUAGAGCUCAACUCUAGAACUGCCAUUGAUACUAUCUGUCUUGAAUAUUGUGGAGGUAAGCGGAAUAUGUCAUGUAGCGGUGAAAUGCUUAGAUAUGACAUAGAACACCUAUUGCGAAGGCAGCUUACUACGCAUAUAUUGACGCUGAGGCACGAAAGCGUGGGGAUCAAACAGGAUUAGAUACCCUGGUAGUCCACGCCCUAAACGAUGGAUACUCGACAUACGCGAUACACUGUGUGUGUCUGAGCGAAAGCAUUAAGUAUCCCACCUGGGAAGUACGUCCGCAAGGAUGAAACUCAAAGGAAUUGGCGGGGGU
RNAcentral lists this ribosomal RNA (434 nucleotides) under uncultured bacterium. RNAcentral describes it as "bacterial SSU rRNA". It matches the Rfam family "Bacterial small subunit ribosomal RNA", at positions 484 to 920 of the family's 1533-position model. The record is from RNAcentral.